GGGCACUCUAAGUUGACUGCCGGUGACAAACCGGAGGAAGGUGGGGAUGACGUCAAAUCAUCAUGCCCCUUAUGAUUUGGGCUACACACGUGCUACAAUGGACAAUACAAAGGGCAGCGAAACCGCGAGGUCAAGCAAAUCCCAUAAAGUUGUUCUCAGUUCGGAUUGUAGUCUGCAACUCGACUACAUGAAGCUGGAAUCGCUAGUAAUCGUAGAUCAGCAUGCUACGGUGAAUACGUUCCCGGGUCUUGUACACACCGCCCGUCACACCACGAGAGUUUGUAACACCCGAAGCCGGUGGAGUAACCAUUUUGGAGCUAGCCGUCGAAGGUGGGACAAAUGAUUGGGGUGAAGUCGUAACAAGGUAGCCGUAUCGGAAGGUGCGGCUGGAUCACCUCCUUUCUAAGGA
RNAcentral lists this ribosomal RNA (409 nucleotides) under Staphylococcus pseudintermedius. Its description in RNAcentral is "bacterial SSU rRNA". It matches the Rfam family "Bacterial small subunit ribosomal RNA", at positions 1133 to 1533 of the family's 1533-position model. The record is from RNAcentral. Lineage: Bacteria; Bacillati; Bacillota; Bacilli; Caryophanales; Staphylococcaceae.